Molecule: ribosomal RNA, 439 nt
Filed under: uncultured bacterium
Lineage: Bacteria
Description: partial 16S ribosomal RNA
Rfam family: Bacterial small subunit ribosomal RNA
Source: RNAcentral
CUACGGGCCGCACCAGUGGGGAAUAUUGCACAAUGGGGGAAACCCUGAUGCAGCAACGCCGCGUGGAGGAUGACACAUUUCGGUGUGUAAACUCCUUUUAUAUAGGAAGAUAAUGACGGUACUAUAUGAAUAAGCACCGGCUAACUCCGUGCCGGCAGCCGCGGUAAUACGGAGGGUGCAAGCGUUACUCGGAAUCACUGGGCGUAAAGCGCGCGCAGGCGGCCUUUUAAGUUGGAUGUGAAAGCCUAUGGCUUAACCAUAGAACUGCAUCCAAAACUAUCAGGCUAGAGUCUGGGAGGGGAAGAUGGAAUUAGUUGUGUAGGGGUAAAAUCCGUAGAGAUAACUAGGAAUACCAAAAGCGAAGGCGAUCUUCUGGAACAGUACUGACGCUGAGGCGCGAAAGCGUGGGGAGCAAACAGGAUUAGAUACCCGGGUAGUC